GCUUAGACAUUAACCCAGACAGGCACCCUAAGCCCCCUGUCCGCCAGAGCAUUACAAGUAAAAAACUUAAAACUCAAAGGACUUGACGGCACUCCACCGCCCUAGAGGAGCCUGUCCUAUAAUCGAUAACCCACGCUAAACCCCACCUGCCCAUGCCCAACCCAGCCUAUAUACCGCCGUCUUCAGCCCGCCUCACAAGAGACCCAACAACGGGCCAGCCGACCCACCGCCAACACGUCAGGUCAAGGUGUAGCUAACGGGCAGGAAGAGAUGGGCUACAUUUUCUAACAUAGAAAAAACCGGCAGCGCCAUGAAACAGCACCAAAAGGAGGAUUUAAUAGUAAGCCGGACAAGACAUGCCCGACUGAACCCUGCCCUGGAGUGAGU
This 387-nucleotide ribosomal RNA is filed under the name Hemidactylus funaiolii. RNAcentral describes it as "partial 12S ribosomal RNA". The stretch from base 47 to 387 matches the Rfam family "Bacterial small subunit ribosomal RNA", at positions 875 to 1384 of the family's 1533-position model. The record is from RNAcentral. Lineage: Eukaryota; Metazoa; Chordata; Lepidosauria; Squamata; Gekkonidae.